AACGAACGCUGGCGGCAUGCCUAACACAUGCAAGUCGAACGAGACCUUCGGGUCUAGUGGCGCACGGGUGCGUAACGCGUGGGAACCUGCCCUUAGGUUCGGAAUAACUCCCCGAAAGGUGUGCUAAUACCGGAUAAUGUCUUCGGACCAAAGAUUUAUCGCCUCUGGAUGGGCCCGCGUUGGAUUAGCUAGUUGGUAGGGUAAAAGCCUACCAAGGCGACGAUCCAUAGCUGGUCUGAGAGGAUGAUCAGCCACACUGGGACUGAGACACGGCCCAGACUCCUACGGGAGGCAGCAGUGGGGAAUAUUGGACAAUGGGCGAAAGCCUGAUCCAGCAAUGCCGCGUGAGUGAUGAAGGCGUUAGGGUUGUAAAGCUCUUUUACCCGGGAUGAUAAUGACAGUACCGGGAGAAUAAGCUCCGGCUAACUCCGUG
Molecule: ribosomal RNA, 433 nt
Filed under: uncultured bacterium
Lineage: Bacteria
Description: partial 16S ribosomal RNA
Rfam family: Bacterial small subunit ribosomal RNA
Source: RNAcentral